ACAGAAAAUUAAACUCUCAUAGAUAAGAGAAGCGAACUGGUGACCGUAAAGGCAACCCAUUGAAGUGUGGUGCGUCAGAGUGGGCAUCCUGUGGAUCCCGUCGACCUCAAAGAAAAAAAAAAGAGUUAACGAAGGUGACAUUUAUCCUGACCUUUACCUCAACUUGGACAUUCUCAGAGCCAACAGUACUUUCUCAACUUCCGCUGCUCCUAUUAAACUACCAAAGAAGACUCUCUCCUACAUUGCCAGGCUACAGUACCCUGUCUUUGAUAGAUGCUGCGGGUGCGAACGGCACAAUUGGACUUGAUGAAUACCCAAAACAGAGUUGUGGCCCUCUGACUGGGUUUCCAAUGUAUGGGCUGGAAGUUAUGAAGGAACUAAAGCAGAGAGCGAGACUGGUCGCCGUGGGGUGAUCUUGAGCAUAGAAUAGGACAGAACUAGACAGGCGUGGUUAGGUCAGAGGAAUAGCCAAGGUCAAAGCAUUGAAGUUACUAGAAGUGGUAUCAAGGGAGCAGGAGAAGAGAAGAGUCAGACAAAUUGGAUCAAACACUGAGCAUCACACUAGAAAUUCAGACUUAGAACAUGGAGCCCAGAACUCCAGGGAGGAGAUUUUAAACAGAGCGUCAUGUGCAUCCCUAUGGGAGCCACUCUGCACCAGCACCAAGAGCAGAGAGAGAUGCAGGCUGCCCCUGCAACAGCCAGGAAUGGAGAACUGACAGCAGAGGGGAAUGGACACCAGCACCCACCUGCUACAGCCACUCAGAGAGACCCAGCACCGCCCAGCCCGUUAAGAAAGAGCCGGGCUCAGACGCUGUGACAUACCCUACAUGUAUACAUCAAUAAAAUGUUUUUCAGCAUUCUAA
Molecule: long non-coding RNA, 863 nt
Organism: Pseudophryne corroboree (corroboree frog)
Lineage: Eukaryota; Metazoa; Chordata; Amphibia; Anura; Myobatrachidae
Exons: 2
Source: RefSeq, a predicted model, not a curated record